GAGGGUAUAGCUCAGUGGUAGAGCAUAUGGUUAGCAUACUCAAGGCACUGGGUUCAAAUCCCAGCACUCCUC
Molecule: transfer RNA, 72 nt
Filed under: Heterocephalus glaber (naked mole-rat)
Lineage: Eukaryota; Metazoa; Chordata; Mammalia; Rodentia; Bathyergidae
Rfam family: tRNA
About the family: Transfer RNA (tRNA) molecules are approximately 80 nucleotides in length. Their secondary structure includes four short double-helical elements and three loops (D, anti-codon, and T loops). Further hydrogen bonds mediate the characteristic L-shaped molecular structure. tRNAs have two regions of fundamental functional importance: the anti-codon, which is responsible for specific mRNA codon recognition, and the 3' end, to which the tRNAs corresponding amino acid is attached (by aminoacyl-tRNA synthetases). tRNAs cope with the degeneracy of the genetic code in two manners: having more than one tRNA (with a specific anti-codon) for a particular amino acid; and 'wobble' base-pairing, i.e. permitting non-standard base-pairing at the 3rd anti-codon position.
Source: Rfam by way of RNAcentral